Long non-coding RNA from Tigriopus californicus, 1385 nucleotides. RefSeq lists it as uncharacterized. The transcript is spliced from 2 exons. The record is from RefSeq and is a predicted model, not a curated record. NCBI's taxonomy places the organism in Eukaryota, Metazoa, Arthropoda, Copepoda, Harpacticoida, Harpacticidae.
AGCUCGCUUGAAGGCCCAAAAAGUGGCCGUGGUGGUCGUUUCGUUUGGGGUGCAAUCUGGCGCCGAAAACUGGCUCCAAGAAACGGGAUGUCAGCUGCCCAUGUUUCUCGAUCCGGAUCGCAAGUUAUAUAGAGCUUUUGGACUGCAUAGGUCCUUGGCCAAGGUAUUCAACCAUAAGAGCCUGUUUUAUUAUGGAGAACAAGUGGCCUCUGGACGAGCCUUGCCCAAGGCCAUGAGUGGGAUUGAAGAUGAUCCCUUGCAAAUGGGCGGCAACUUCACUGUCUCCGUUCCAAGUUCGAAAAUGACGUUGAUCCACAGGAGCAAGAACCCCUCAGAUCGACCUUGUUUGGAACAGAUUUUGAAUAUCGAAGCUUAAUGGGAGAAAGUGCGGGAGUACCAUUAUGAUAAUUUGGGAUGAAAUUUCGCAUUUGAAUGUCCUGAAAUUUGAUGACUCAGUUACUGACGUGCUUUGAUCGAUUGCGCUAUUUGAAAUAUAAAAUUAAGAAGAAUUUGUGUAAUAAUCACAAAUGACUGAACAUUGUGAGCGACCACACUAGUGACUUUUCCAUUGAUGUCUUUCAAAUAAAAUUGAGCCUAAUCUAAUCUGAUCUGACAAGGCGGAGGAGACAACUCGAAUUGCUCUUCUGUUGGUAAAACUGGAAUUACCUUUCAUCUUACAGUUACGCCCUUCGGUCAUCGUCGUCGCCAAAAUGGAGACUAUUCCCUCAGUGGACAAUGCUCUACGGACUUUGUUCGCCACAUCCACCAUAUCUCAAGACAGAUCGGUGCUGAGUCCAAAGAAAUUCGGUACUCCGGAAUCGAAAAUUAUGUUCACGGCCGAAUUUGUAUUCUCCAAAAUACAGGGAUUAGCCAAACAUGGGAUUACGUGCUCACAGGACCUAAUCAAGUACAUGAAUUGUCAUCCCCAGACUUAUGUGUGCCAUGAAAAUUGUGUCUUGAGCCGUGAACUCUGGAAUGUCAUGCCAUGCGAAUUUGACGCCUUUAUAGAAUUCGCCAACCUCUUUCGAUAUCAUUCCGGUUACAAUAGACAAUACCUCUUGGCGGCAGUACAAGAAAACGAAAUUUUGCAAAUCCGUCUGAAGAAUAUGAAAAGUCUUCGAGCGUUUCUGCGCUUAUUUUCGGAAUUCUUCGUAAUUUUGGAAAAUGGACUUGUAGGGACAAACAUAUCAUUUGGUUCGCUGCCUCCGGAAAAAGUAAAAAAGAUUGACAACAUGCAUACCAUGACAUUGAUCCAGUCGUUCAUCGCCUUGGGUAAAAACGUCCAUUCUGGUCCCAUCAAGUUUUCAAUGAUGCUUGAGCACUUUACUUUUAAUACUGUAUAAUAUAAUAUUGGAGUUUUGAAUACAUGUAUCUAGAGUGGUUAA